GACGAACGCUGGCGGCGUGCUUAACACAUGCAAGUCGAACGGAAAGGCCCUGCUUUUGUGGGGUGCUCGAGUGGCGAACGGGUGAGUAACACGUGAGUAACCUGCCCUUGACUUUGGGAUAACUUCAGGAAACUGGGGCUAAUACCGGAUAGGAGCUCCUGCUGCAUGGUGGGGGUUGGAAAGUUUCGGCGGUUGGGGAUGGACUCGCGGCUUAUCAGCUUGUUGGUGGGGUAGUGGCUUACCAAGGCUUUGACGGGUAGCCGGCCUGAGAGGGUGACCGGCCACAUUGGGACUGAGAUACGGCCCAGAAUCCUACGGGAGGCAGCAGUGGGGAGUAUUGCACAAUGGGCGGAAGCCUGAUGCAGCAACGCCGCGUGCGGGAUGACGGCCUUCGGGUUGUAAACCGCUUUCGCCUGUGACGAAGCGUGAGUGACGGUAAUGGGUAAAGAAGCACCGGCUAACUACGUG
RNAcentral lists this ribosomal RNA (468 nucleotides) under uncultured bacterium. RNAcentral describes it as "partial 16S ribosomal RNA". It matches the Rfam family "Bacterial small subunit ribosomal RNA", at positions 28 to 507 of the family's 1533-position model. The record is from RNAcentral.